UCCGUAGGCGGGGUAAUCAGUCAGUGGUGAAAGUCUGCAGCUUAACUGUAGAAUUGCCAUUGAUACUGUUAUCCUUGAGUUAUUAUGAAGUGGUUAGAAUGAGUAGUGUAGCGGUGAAAUGCAUAGAUAUUACUCAGAAUACCGAUUGCGAAGGCAGAUCACUAAUAAUACACUGACGCUGAUGGACGAAAGCGUAGGUAGCGAACAGGAUUAGAUACCCUGGUAGUCC
This 229-nucleotide ribosomal RNA is filed under the name uncultured bacterium. RNAcentral describes it as "partial 16S ribosomal RNA". It matches the Rfam family "Bacterial small subunit ribosomal RNA", at positions 568 to 796 of the family's 1533-position model. The record is from RNAcentral.